UACGAAGGGGGCUAGCGUUGCUCGGAAUUACUGGGCGUAAAGGGCGCGUAGGCGGAUAGUUUAGUCAGAGGUGAAAGCCCAGGGCUCAACCUUGGAAUUGCCUUUGAUACUGGCUGUCUUGAGUAUGGGAGAGGUGAGUGGAACUCCGAGUGUAGAGGUGAAAUUCGUAGAUAUUCGGAAGAACACCAGUGGCGAAGGCGACUCACUGGCCCAUUACUGACGCUGAGGCGCGAAAGCGUGGGGAGCAAACAGGG
This 254-nucleotide ribosomal RNA is filed under the name uncultured bacterium. Its description in RNAcentral is "partial 16S ribosomal RNA". It matches the Rfam family "Bacterial small subunit ribosomal RNA", at positions 524 to 777 of the family's 1533-position model. The record is from RNAcentral.